RNAcentral lists this small nucleolar RNA (84 nucleotides) under Sorex araneus (European shrew). RNAcentral describes it as "Small nucleolar RNA SNORA31 (ENSSARG00000019552.1)". The record is from RNAcentral. Lineage: Eukaryota; Metazoa; Chordata; Mammalia; Eulipotyphla; Soricidae.
AUGCUACAGGUGCCAGAAGAAAAGCAUCCUCACGCUUUCUGGCUGCUGACAGUGGCAGCCCCGACUGAAUGGGGGAAUAGAAUA